Molecule: transfer RNA, 57 nt
Filed under: Dipodomys ordii (Ord's kangaroo rat)
Lineage: Eukaryota; Metazoa; Chordata; Mammalia; Rodentia; Heteromyidae
Rfam family: tRNA
About the family: Transfer RNA (tRNA) molecules are approximately 80 nucleotides in length. Their secondary structure includes four short double-helical elements and three loops (D, anti-codon, and T loops). Further hydrogen bonds mediate the characteristic L-shaped molecular structure. tRNAs have two regions of fundamental functional importance: the anti-codon, which is responsible for specific mRNA codon recognition, and the 3' end, to which the tRNAs corresponding amino acid is attached (by aminoacyl-tRNA synthetases). tRNAs cope with the degeneracy of the genetic code in two manners: having more than one tRNA (with a specific anti-codon) for a particular amino acid; and 'wobble' base-pairing, i.e. permitting non-standard base-pairing at the 3rd anti-codon position.
Source: Rfam by way of RNAcentral
UGGCUCAGUGGUAGAGCGCUUGCCUCGCAUGCAUGAGGCCUUGAGUUCGAUUCCCUA